UGUAGACCGGAGCUGUUCCUAUUCGGCCAUCUUGGCUCCUCCUACGUUUCAUAAAUUUCUAAGAUCAGCAAUGUGGGAGACAGGAGCUUCACCUUCAGGCUGGAUUCCAUGAUGGAGAAAACACAUGGAGCAGACCAGCAGUUAUUUGCAGCUAUCAUGUGAGCAAUGCCUGGGGAAGCUCUGGAAGCGUAACCACACUGGGAUGGUGAAGGGGAAUUAGUCAAUGACUUUGGGUAACACCUGGAAUUUGACCUGCAGACUGGAAUACAGCUUCCUAUUAAAAUGUUUCAUUCUUAUAAGUCUUGUGUGCAUUUACGGCUUUAAGGAAGAAAUUCUCUCAGGCUUAAGACAUAAAUUAAAGCCAUAUAGUGUCAGUUUCAAUAAGAGCCUCUGUUUUUCAAAUUUUUUGACUUUCACUUAGAAAGACAACACUGUACUAGGAGGUUACUCUUUUUGAUCAGUCUCAACAUUUUUCUAGCUGUUCUCAACUCCCCUUCAAAAGUAUUUCCCACUAGAAUUACAUGAAUGUUGUGCCCCCAAGGUGAAUGCAGUGUUUGGAACAACAAAAUAUUGAUUUCCCAUUGUGUAACUUCCAUUUAAUUUAAACCAAAAUGCAAGAAGGGGAAAGGGUUGGUAGGAGAGUACGCUGAUAUAACCCUUUCCAGUGAUCCUUAAAAACUUCACACAUUUCCAGUGCUGAAUUUUGUUGACAGACACUU
RNAcentral lists this long non-coding RNA (719 nucleotides) under Homo sapiens (human). Its description in RNAcentral is "HSALNT0009545". The record is from RNAcentral. Lineage: Eukaryota; Metazoa; Chordata; Mammalia; Primates; Hominidae.